This 301-nucleotide ribosomal RNA is filed under the name uncultured bacterium. RNAcentral's name for it is "partial 16S ribosomal RNA". It matches the Rfam family "Bacterial small subunit ribosomal RNA", at positions 509 to 807 of the family's 1533-position model. The record is from RNAcentral.
CAGUCGCCGCGGUAAUACGUAGGGUGCAAGCGUUAAUCGGAAUUACUGGGCGUAAAGCGUGCGCAGGCGGUUUGUUAAGACAGAUGUGAAAUCCCCGGGCUCAACCUGGGAACUGCAUUUGUGACUGGCAAGCUAGAGUAUGGCAGAGGGUGGUGGAAUUCCGCGUGUAGCAGUAAAAUGCGUAGAUAAGCGGAGGAACACCGAUGGCGAAGGCAGCCCCCUGGGCCAAUACUGACGCUCAUGCACGAAAGCGUGGGGAGCAAACAGGAUUAGAUACCCCUGUAGUCCCUGUCUCUUAUAC